UGAAGUCACGGAGGCUACUGAUGGAAAAUGGGAAGUGCUGAUUGGGUCAUCCCACAUCCUGACCCCCAAGCAGUUCCUGGAAGAUGUACGCAACCUGACUGAGCAGACACCGCUGAAGACUUAAAAUUUCUAGCCCCUAAGAGACUUGCUGGCAGCUGUUCUAUUAGCUACCUUUUUCUUCAGCAAGAUGGCUUCUUCCUCAUCAGUGCCUUUGUUUGAACACUUCUGAGGCUGGCCCUAUCUUGAUCCAACCUUUAGCCAGCUAUCAUGAUUGAAUUGACACUGGAAGGACCUCACCCGGGGCCUAGAAUGACGAUAAGGGUCUAUCUUCAUCUCUUAUUAUGUUGUGGUUUCUGGACACACUUUAUUUUUCUGCCCUCCCACAAAUAAGGGAAGAAGGAAGGGCUAUGUAGUUCAUGAAUAAGUCUCUCCUACUCUUGCCUAGAAGUUAUUUGUUCCCUUACAUGAUGACUUGCCAAGAAAUUAAUUCUUUUGACUUGACCUUACACAAAUUUGAUGGCUUUCAUCAGAGCCUAUUUCUUUCCUUUCUUUUUUCUCCCAGCAAAGGAAAUCGAUCAACAAAAGUGAUUGCUUGUUCCUCCUUUAUGAAAAUAUUCUGGAACAAACUCUCAUUUCUGGAUUCCCACAUUUAGAAGCUUGGCUUUAACACUUAGCUUGAAAGGAUGAUUGAUUGCUGCUUUUAAAAAGUGGGAAAGAUGAUUUUGCUGAAGAAGUCAUGUGCUGUCUUCGUUAAAAAGAUUGCACAGCUCAGCCGAGGAAUCUCAGUCUUUAAAAUAAAUAUGAAAUUCAAGAUUGUUGGCAUUCUCUCUUCUGUAGAGGAGAAGUCAAGCUGUGAUAGAGAAGAAAAAGAUUUUUGCUUCCCAUAUAAAGAAUUGGGUAUGUCAGCCUUUAUCUUGGAAAGUUACUGUGCCAGUUGAAGACAUUAUUUAUGAGUGUCUUUAUUUUGGCCUUGUUCCACAACAUACUACAAGGGGCUUCCUGAUAACAGCAUGGAAACAGUAGCCGGUCAAAAAUGUUGCAGCAAGACUGUUCACCAUGAUGCAGUGACAUGUAGGCUACUGCUUUACACUCCACAAGUGUCUUUGCUUGUAUUUCUGGCCUUAGUUUAAAAUAUUGAAAUUAAACAUUUAACCAGAGCUCCAAAUUGUCUUCAGAAUACCUUCAGAUAUUUAACGUAUUUAUUAUUAAAAGAUGUUACAGUAUUUUAAGUUUAGUAAAUUUCAAUAAAUGUAUACCGAUUAUUUAUGCAUUUCUGUAAAAGAUAUUAGGGAUAUUUUCAGAUGGUCCAGCUCAGACAUCUUCCCAAAAGGUGAGAUGGAGACCAUGAUGACACUCAUCCUACAGAGACUUAUCUGGCAUAAAUGAUCACCUUGGAGCCAGAAUAAGUUGCCUGUGAAAAUAAACAAGGCUUCAUCUUUGUUUUUGUUUUUUAAAUCUACAUUUGAACUGUUUAGCUUUUUCUGUGACACAAGAUUUAUUCAGGCUUUCUUGUGUAUUUGUUUCUUAAUGUUUAGAGGGAGUAUGUUAUUCUAUCUGAUGUUGUAUACGUAUAAGCUGCAUUCACUGAACUGUCCAGAUAAAAUGUAGCUAUUGGUUGUAACAGAGACAAAUAAAAAUAGAGAAAGAUAA
Molecule: non-coding RNA, 1650 nt
Organism: Thamnophis sirtalis
Lineage: Eukaryota; Metazoa; Chordata; Lepidosauria; Squamata; Natricidae
Source: RefSeq, a predicted model, not a curated record